Dreissena polymorpha is the source of this 397-nucleotide long non-coding RNA. RefSeq lists it as uncharacterized. Lineage: Eukaryota; Metazoa; Mollusca; Bivalvia; Myida; Dreissenidae. The transcript is spliced from 2 exons. The record is from RefSeq and is a predicted model, not a curated record.
AUUUUCUUAUAUGUACAAGUAAAUAUUGUAAAUGUCAUUGGGGAUACAAGGCGGGAACACAAACAUAACAGUUAACAUAUUAAUAUAACCGGUUCAUUAGAUUGUGCAACUGGAUAACUUUAAAAUGUGUCAAAAUAUGGUUCCAGAACAGACGAGCGCGCGAGCGGCGCAGCGGUCACAAAAAGGAGAGCAGUGCAGAGAGUGACAGAGACGCCGCGGUUCCUACGUCCGGUACUCUCGCUCUGGUCCCCGGCUGUCGAGCGGGAAAUUCCGCUGCGUACGGAGGAAUGGGAGAGAUGUUUCCACAUAGGCACUCGGCGUUCAACACUUGAAGUAGAAUGUUAAAAAUGCUGUUGUAGUUUUUCGUCAAGACGGACUUUUUAAAUAGAAAAAAUAA